Molecule: long non-coding RNA, 491 nt
Filed under: Dendronephthya gigantea
Lineage: Eukaryota; Metazoa; Cnidaria; Anthozoa; Malacalcyonacea; Nephtheidae
Description: uncharacterized LOC114523679
Source: RNAcentral
AAUGAAUCGGGUGGUAAUAUGGCGGCUGGUUCUUAUAUCGUGUGAGUACUUUACUGCGUGUUUUCACAUAGUCAACUGUUGACUUUCGUUUAAUUUUGUUAAAUAUCGUCAAUAUACUAUUGGAAUGAUGUGUAAAAUGAUAAACAAGAUGAAUUCAACAGUAAUUGAAGAGUCAAAAGCAACGCAAUGUUACACAGAGGGGUUUGAAGGAUUCGACUCUCACAGAAGCAUGGAAGGCUUUCUUUAAAAAACAGUGGAAACAACACAAGAUUGCAAAAACACUAUUUAUUGCAAUUAAUGAUAUAAUAUUUUAACAACAAAGUCACAUUACAAUUUCAUAUUACCUAUACUUACAGCUGUAUAAUUUUGGAAUGAAUUGUCCCAUGAUUGUCCCACCUACAUGUCCCAUAUUAUGUACCCACCACACAAGGAAUUCAUUGUUAAUAAAGUAGAGAGGGCAGUUGUUUUUGAAAUAAAUCAAAAUAGUUUGA